CCAGAGAACUUUCCAGAGAUGGAUUGGUGCCUUCGGGAACUCUGAGACAGGUGCUGCAUGGCUGUCGUCAGCUCGUGUUGUGAAAUGUUGGGUUAAGUCCCGCAACGAGCGCAACCCUUAUCCUUUGUUGCCAGCGGUUAGGCCGGGAACUCAAAGGAGACUGCCAGUGAUAAACUGGAGGAAGGUGGGGAUGACGUCAAGUCAUCAUGGCCCUUACGAGUAGGGCUACACACGUGCUACAAUGGCGCAUACAAGAGAAGCGACCUCGCGAGAGCAAGCGGACCUCAUAAAGUGCGUCGUAGUCCGGAUUGGAGUCUGCAACUCGACUCCAUGAAGUCGGAAUCGCUAGUAAUCGUGGAUCAGAAUGCCACGGUGAAUACGUUCCCGGGCCUUGUACACACCGCCCGUCACACCAUGGGAGUGGGUUGCAAAAGAAGUAGGUAGCUUAACCUUCGGGAGGGCGCUUACCACUUUGUGAUUCAUGACUGGGGUGAAGUCGUAACAAGGUAGGCGUAGUGCU
This 520-nucleotide ribosomal RNA is filed under the name uncultured bacterium. RNAcentral describes it as "bacterial SSU rRNA". It matches the Rfam family "Bacterial small subunit ribosomal RNA", at positions 988 to 1509 of the family's 1533-position model. The record is from RNAcentral.